RNAcentral lists this transfer RNA (77 nucleotides) under Fervidobacterium nodosum. Its description in RNAcentral is "tRNA-Ile". It matches the Rfam family "tRNA". Rfam says of the family: Transfer RNA (tRNA) molecules are approximately 80 nucleotides in length. RNAcentral also lists the same sequence under 6 other names. Lineage: Bacteria; Thermotogati; Thermotogota; Thermotogae; Thermotogales; Fervidobacteriaceae. The record is from RNAcentral.
GGGCUCGUAGCUCAGAAGGUCAGAGCGCACGCCUGAUAAGCGUGAGGUCGGAGGUUCGAUUCCUCCCGAGCCCACCA